RNAcentral lists this ribosomal RNA (119 nucleotides) under Capra hircus (goat). The record is from RNAcentral. Lineage: Eukaryota; Metazoa; Chordata; Mammalia; Artiodactyla; Bovidae.
GUCUACGGCCAUACCACCCUGAACGCGCCCGAUCUCGUCUGAUCUCGGAAGCUAAGCAGGGUCGGGGCCGGUUAGUACUUGGAUGGGAGACCGCCUGGGAAUACCGGGUGCUGUAGGCU